GCAGCAGCCUGUUCUGUCGCUGCUUUUGCUUUCGGGCAAAAGGAGAGGAAAGUCGGGACAACGCAGAGCGCCAUACUUCCUAACGGGAAGGUCCCGCUCAUACGGGAACAGCCAGUGCCACAGAAAAUUACCGCUGAUGUCGGUUCUUCCGGCAGGCAAGGGUGAAAACGUGAGGUAAGAGCUCACGCGUUGCGUUGGCGACAUCGCACCGGGGUAAACCUUAUGGGUUGAAAGGCCAUGUAUAUCGCGGCUCCACUACAGUGGAAUACAGGCUGCUCGUCGAAAUGCCGGAACUCCGGCAUGCCGUGAGGGGUAGGUCGUUAGAGCCAUGCUGCAAAGCCUGGCCCAGAUAAAUGACAGAAACUCCCGCUUCGGCGGGAUGACAGAAUCCCGCUUACAGGGCUGCUGCUUUU
Molecule: RNase P RNA, 413 nt
Filed under: Bacteroidales bacterium
Lineage: Bacteria; Pseudomonadati; Bacteroidota; Bacteroidia; Bacteroidales
Description: RNase P RNA component class A
Rfam family: Bacterial RNase P class A
About the family: Ribonuclease P (RNase P) is a ubiquitous endoribonuclease, found in archaea, bacteria and eukarya as well as chloroplasts and mitochondria. Its best characterised activity is the generation of mature 5'-ends of tRNAs by cleaving the 5'-leader elements of precursor-tRNAs.
Source: RNAcentral